Non-coding RNA from Acanthosepion pharaonis, 90 nucleotides. NCBI's taxonomy places the organism in Eukaryota, Metazoa, Mollusca, Cephalopoda, Sepiida, Sepiidae. The record is from the annotation of a GenBank genome assembly.
CGAGUUCCCAUACGAACACCAAAGUUAAGCAACGUCGAGCUUGGUCAGUACCUAAAUGGGUAACCACUUGAGAAUACCAGGUGUUGUAAG